GUGCACCCUCUGAUUGUGGUGGUGCAUCCGCCUCAUCCAUUUCUGGUGGGUCAGAGAUGAAGGUGGUAGUGGGCGGCGAGGACAUUUCAGUUGGUAUGAGAAACUAGAUAAAAGGGAUUAACAAAGAGGAAAUGUCUCGAAACCCUGAAAGAGGCGUCUUCUGUGUCACGGAAAAUAGAAUAACCAUAAACUAGUGUCACUGCUUUAGCUUUUGUGAUGUGAGCGUGAGGCAGAGACUCGCACAGCUCAGGGCUUCUCACGAUUCAGUGCCCUUGGCCUUGGGUCCAUCUUCUACAAG
This 298-nucleotide unclassified non-coding RNA is filed under the name Hevea brasiliensis (rubber tree). The record is from RNAcentral. Lineage: Eukaryota; Viridiplantae; Streptophyta; Magnoliopsida; Malpighiales; Euphorbiaceae.